Dunckerocampus dactyliophorus (ringed pipefish) is the source of this 814-nucleotide long non-coding RNA. RefSeq lists it as uncharacterized. Lineage: Eukaryota; Metazoa; Chordata; Actinopteri; Syngnathiformes; Syngnathidae. The transcript is spliced from 3 exons. The record is from RefSeq and is a predicted model, not a curated record.
GCCCAGGCAAACGCAGUAGGCCUGCCCUCCUCCCGCUGUUAGCAUGUUAGCACGUAUGGCUCCCAGGAAAUGUUUGUUCGGGUGUGCCUAAAGAGGCAAGAAUCAGGCAGAAGUUGUUGGAGUUGCUGAUUCCCGGCCAGGAAGAGAAAAAUAUGCUCAUCUGUCAACGACAUCUCACACGGGACUGUUAUGUGAGCAUGGGCCAAUACCAAGCUGGACUAUCCGCCAAACUGUUGCUGAAGUCGGACGCCUUUCCAACGUUACUCGGUCGUGUUAAAGAGUCACAACAGCAAGCUUUUUUCUGGAUGCAGCCUGCAGUUUGGACACGCUGUCAGUUUGUUUAGGCAGUACUGAUUGCAGCCUCUGGGUGUCACUGCAGGACAAUGCCUGUCCUUCAACUCUUGCCUGACGAGUUUCCAUUAAAAAAAAUGCUGGUGUGUGUGUGUUUUUAGAUCAUGACAUACAUAUACACAAAUACGUAUAAUGAAGAUUAUUUAUAUAGAGAGCUCAAAUACCUAAUCUAUCCUUUACGCUACAGCCUCUCAGUAAUGCAGCUUCUCACAACACUUACAUAGUAAUGAGGCAUUUAAGGUGUAAUUACAUCUCAUUCUUCUUGCACAUCUCAGCUGUAUGGGAGAUUUAAUGGUCCCCCAUCCCGCUUGACUUUCAAAAUGGGUCACAUUUUCAUCAUUGAUCCAUCAAAUAAUAUGAUAACAUGAUUAAAUCAGGUGCACACUGGUACAGUAAAGUUCACCACUGGUCACAGUCAAUUUCAGGUCUGAUAUUAGCCAGUAAGCCAGUUAUGUGUUGGAAU